Non-coding RNA from Chelonoidis abingdonii (Abingdon island giant tortoise), 2112 nucleotides. The record is from RefSeq and is a predicted model, not a curated record. NCBI's taxonomy places the organism in Eukaryota, Metazoa, Chordata, Testudines, Testudinidae.
CCUGGGCUGGGCUACCACACCACGUAGGGGUGAAAGCUCCUCCUCAGAGCGUCGCAUUAACCGUUUGGAAUGUUCCAUCGGCUGGCGUCCCCCGCCCGCCCGGGUGUGGUAUCGCCCUGAGGUGAAAGGGAAAUAGGCAUAAAAUAAAGAAACUCCCAAACAGUGUGAAAAGAAUUAUGCUCAACGACUGAAAACAACAGAUGGAAACAUUCAUGCAUAUGGAAAUGUAUACUUAAAGUGCAAAUGGGAAAGAGUAAAUGUUGUGAAGUCUCAUCUACUGUUCUGAUUCUGACUCAGCUAAAGUCAGUAGCAAAACUCAUUAAAUUUCAGUGUUUUUCUCAAACAAGGCAUGUCAACCUCUAUCAUAGAACAUUUGCACAGGUCUGGCAAUGAGGAUCUCAAGACAUCUGAGUAUGAGUUGAACACUGUCUAGAUCAAAGGUGCUCUGACCACUUUAAUUAUUUAGGAUGUUUAGCCAUCUAAUUCGUUCAUGGCUGAAGUUUUUCUUAUGACAUCAUGCCAGUAGUUAACGACAGAAAUGAUUUGGAACCAUCAAGCUGUGGAAUAGCUAGCCUCCAUAUCUAGCUGAAGGAUUCUAAUGGAGCCUACUGGAAUAUCUGCUGAGCUGCAAUGCUGGUGAGAGAGAUCCUGUUUUACAAGCUCAAGUAUCACAGCUCUGACAAAUGAGUAAUCUUGAAAGAACUUGUCUUUGUCCCCCUCCCUUUUAUCCUUGAGGGAAAGAGCUUCAGUAACACCCUUGAGGCCACUGAGUUUAAAGGCAGCACAGUUUUUCCAAAUCCGUUCUUGGUGUGUCAUACUCUCCAUGUGACAGGAAAUGUGACUGUUGCAUUGCAGGACAUUUCUCACUUUGUCUUCAAAAUAUAGACCCUCAUCUUGUAUGGUACUGAAUGUCCACACCUCCCAUUGAAUGAACUCUGCAGGAUUAGAUUGUAACUAGUGAAGUGCACAUGUAGGAAGGUGACUGGAAGAAAAUUCAGUGGAAUAUUUUUCUCACCAAGAGCAUUGAUGGGUGCACUUUCUCCUCCACCACUGAAAUUUCUCCCUUCUCUUCUCAGCGUUUCCUUUCUUGGAUUAAAUAUUUUACAGAGGUUUUGAGGCUUGUUUGCUUUUGCAAUCUUAAGAGGCAUCUGGUGCUGGUGAAAACACAUCUGAACACUUCCCAUUUGGUGUGCCAUUAAAUAUCUUAGUACAGCUGUUCUGAACAUCCCAUCCCAAGCUGGAAUAGGAAGAGAAGUCCAGCCAGCCAUUUCCCCUGUGGCCAGCCAUAAGGAUCUUCCGGAAGUUAUCAACAUCAGUCCUGAAUUGUGGGCACCAGAAUUGGACACAGUGUAGCAGAAGCAGUUGUACCAGUGCAAAAUAUAAAGGAGCCUGAGCAGAGGGCUGGAUUGAAAGGAGGAGCCCAAGAGGGACUGAAGGGAGAAAGCACCCUCAGGAAGGAGGGGCUGAGUCCAGCCUGAACAAGGGAUUGGAAGAUUUUUGCUUGGGAGGACAAGAAAUAAGGUGAUAAAAGGCCUGUUUCUGAAGGGCCAGCAGCAGCACUGUGCUAUCCUACAGGAAACCUCCAGAGCUGCAGAUCCCUGGCCUGGUGCGCUGCUGGGCGUGAGUGCGACAGCAGCUCUGAAAAGGGCUGGAAUUGAAGGAGAGAAGAGGAGAAUGCCUUAUGAACAGACAGGAGGACAAAGGGAGUUUGUUCUUUUAAGGGCUUGAUCCUGUGGUGCUGAGUGCUGGAGUUGAGAUAACUCAGCACCACACAAAUUUCACUAAGCACCUUGCAAGAUUGGGCCCUGCACACUUUGCUCUGAUUAUUGGGGUAAUGCUUUCUUUUCCUAGGGGAAGGUAAACCUACCUUACAAAGCAGGAAUUAUUAAUAAUAAACAAUAACAUAUAGCACAUUUCCUUCCAAAGGAAAUCACAGUCAUUGCUUUACAGUCUGGACAGGGAUAAUCAAACAAGCCACUGAACUGCAGCCAUCUCUGGGGUGGAAACAUAGCCAUCAUUCAGCACUUACAACACUACAAAGCAGUCAGACACAGGACCACCCAGAGGAGGGGGGAAAGUGGGGCAAUUUGCCCCAGGCCCCACAGGGGCCCC